This 107-nucleotide small nuclear RNA is filed under the name Lynx canadensis (Canada lynx). Lineage: Eukaryota; Metazoa; Chordata; Mammalia; Carnivora; Felidae. The record is from RNAcentral.
GUGCUCACUUCGGCAGCACAUAUACUAAAAUUGGAAUGAUACAGAGAAGAUUAGCAUGGCCCCUGCACAAGGAUGACAUACAAAUUCGGGAAGACUUCCAUAUUUUU